CAGUAGCCGCGGUAAUACGUAGGGUGCGAGCGUUAAUCGGAAUUACUGGGCGUAAAGCGUGCGCAGGCGGUUCGUUAAGACAGAUGUGAAAUCCCCGGGCUUAACCUGGGAACUGCAUUUGUGACUGACGGGCUAGAGUAUGGCAGAGGGGGGUAGAAUUCCACGUGUAGCAGUGAAAUGCGUAAAGAUGUGGAGGAAUACCGAUGGCGAAGGCAGCCCCCUGGGCCAAUACUGACGCUCAUGCACGAAAGCGUGGGGAGCAAACAGGAUUAGAGACCCGCGUAGUCCCUGUCUCUUAUAC
This 301-nucleotide ribosomal RNA is filed under the name uncultured bacterium. Its description in RNAcentral is "partial 16S ribosomal RNA". It matches the Rfam family "Bacterial small subunit ribosomal RNA", at positions 509 to 807 of the family's 1533-position model. The record is from RNAcentral.